CGUAGGUGGCAAGCGUUGUCCGGAGUUACUGGGUGUAAAGGGCGUGUAGGCGGGAAAAUAAGUCAGAUGUGAAAUUCCAUGGCUCAACUGUGGCGCUGCAUCUGAAACUAUUUUUCUUGAGUGAUGGAGAGGAAAGCGGAAUUCCUAGUGUAGCGGUGAAAUGCGUAGAUAUUAGGAGGAACACCAGUGGCGAAGGCGGCUUUCUGGACAUUAACUGACGCUGAGGCGCGAAAGCGUGGGGAGCAAACAGGAUUAGAUACCCUGGUAGUCCACGCUGUAAACGAUGGAUACUAGGUGUAGGAGGUAUCGACCCCUUCUGUGCCGGAGUUAACACAAUAAGUAUCCCACCUGGGAAGUACGGCCGCAAGGUUG
RNAcentral lists this ribosomal RNA (372 nucleotides) under uncultured organism. Its description in RNAcentral is "bacterial SSU rRNA". It matches the Rfam family "Bacterial small subunit ribosomal RNA", at positions 526 to 896 of the family's 1533-position model. The record is from RNAcentral.